UGCGAACUCCUACGGGAGGCAGCAGUGGGGAAUUUUGGACAAUGGGGGCAACCCUGAUCCAGCAAUGCUGCGUGAGUGCGGAAGGCCUUCGGGUUGUAAAGCUCUUUUGUCAGGGAAGAAACGGUAGUAGCUAAUAUCUAUUACUAAUGACGGUACCUGAAGAAUAAGCACUGCCUAACUACGUGCCAGCAGCUGCGGUAAUACGUAGGGUGCAAGCGUUAAUCGGAAUUACUGGGCGUAAAGCGUGCGCAGGCGGUUGUGUAAGUCAGAUGUGAAAUCCCCGGGCUCAACCUGGGAAUUGCAUUUGAGACUGCACGGCUAGAGUGUGUCAGAGGGGGGUAGAAUUCCACGUGUAGCAGUGAAAUGCGUAGAUAUGUGGAGGAAUACCGAUGGCGAAGGCAGCCCCCUGGGAUAACACUGACGCUCAUGCACGAAAGCGUAGGGAGCAAACAGGAUUAGAAACCCGUGUAGUCCAGAUG
This 479-nucleotide ribosomal RNA is filed under the name uncultured bacterium. RNAcentral describes it as "bacterial SSU rRNA". It matches the Rfam family "Bacterial small subunit ribosomal RNA", at positions 330 to 801 of the family's 1533-position model. The record is from RNAcentral.